UAAGGAAUAUUGGUCAAUGGAGGCAACUCUGAACCAGCCAUGCCGCGUGCAGGAAGAAGGCCCUAUGGGUCGUAAACUGCCUUUGAACAAGAGAAAACCCCGGUACGUGUACUGGGUUGAUAGUAUUGUUAGAAUAAGCAUCGGCUAACUUCGUGCCAGCAGCCGCGGUAAGACGAAGGAUGCAAGCGUUAUCCGGAUUCAUUGGGUUUAAAGGGUGCGUAGGCGGACUGAUAAGUCAGUGGUGAAAUCUCUCGGCUUAACCGAGAAACUGCCAUUGAUACUGUUAGUCUAGAGUACAGAUGAUGUGGGCGGAAUAUGACAUGUAGUGGUGAAAUACUUAGAUAUGUCAUAGAACACCGAUUGCGAAGGCAGCUCACAAAACUGUAACUGACGCUGAGGCACGAAAGUGCGGGGAUCAAACAGGAUUAGAUACCCACGUAGUCCCUGAGCGGGCUGGCAAGGCGCAU
This 467-nucleotide ribosomal RNA is filed under the name uncultured bacterium. RNAcentral describes it as "bacterial SSU rRNA". It matches the Rfam family "Bacterial small subunit ribosomal RNA", at positions 355 to 825 of the family's 1533-position model. The record is from RNAcentral.